UAACGACGAUAUGCUUUGGGGAGCUGUAAGUAAGCUUUGAUCCAGAGAUUUCCGAAUGGGGAAACCCAGCAUGAGUUAUGUCAUGUUAUCGAUAUGUGAAUACAUAGCAUAUCAGAAGGCACACCCGGAGAACUGAAACAUCUUAGUACCCGGAGGAAGAGAAAGAAAAUUCGAUUCCCUUAGUAGCGGCGAGCGAAACGGGAAGAGCCCAAACCAACAAGCUUGCUUGUUGGGGUUGUAGGACACUCUAUACGGAGUUACAAAGGACGACAUUAGACGAAUCAUCUGGAAAGAUGAAUCAAAGAAGGUAAUAAUCCUGUAGUCGAAAAUGUUGUCUCUCUUGAGUGGAUCCUGAGUACGACGGAGCACGUGAAAUUCCGUCGGAAUCUGGGAGGACCAUCUCCUAAGGCUAAAUACUCUCUAGUGACCGAUAGUGAACCAGUACCGUGAGGGAAAGGUGAAAAGCACCCCGGAAGGGGAGUGAAAUAGAACCUGAAACCGUGUGCUUACAAGUAGUCAGAGCCCGUUAAUGGGUGAUGGCGUGCCUUUUGUAGAAUGAACCGGCGAGUUACGAUUUGAUGCAAGGUUAAGCAGUAAAUGUGGAGCCGUAGCGAAAGCGAGUCUGAAUAGGGCGUUUAGUAUUUGGUCGUAGACCCGAAACCAGGUGAUCUACCCUUGGUCAGGUUGAAGUUCAGGUAACACUGAAUGGAGGACCGAACCGACUUACGUUGAAAAGUGAGCGGAUGAACUGAGGGUAGCGGAGAAAUUCCAAUCGAACCUGGAGAUAGCUGGUUCUCUCCGAAAUAGCUUUAGGGCUAGCCUCAAGUGAUGAUUAUUGGAGGUAGAGCACUGUUUGGACGAGGGGCCCCUCUCGGGUUACCGAAUUCAGACAAACUCCGAAUGCCAAUUAAUUUAACUUGGGAGUCAGAACAUGGGUGAUAAGGUCCGUGUUCGAAAGGGAAACAGCCCAGACCACCAGCUAAGGUCCCAAAAUAUAUGUUAAGUGGAAAAGGAUGUGGCGUUGCCCAGACAACUAGGAUGUUGGCUUAGAAGCAGCCAUCAUUUAAAGAGUGCGUAAUAGCUCACUAGUCGAGUGACACUGCGCCGAAAAUGUACCGGGGCUAAACAUAUUACCGAAGCUGUGGAUUGUCCUUUGGACAAUGGUAGGAGAGCGUUCUAAGGGCGUUGAAGCAUGAUCGUAAGGACAUGUGGAGCGCUUAGAAGUGAGAAUGCCGGUGUGAGUAGCGAAAGACGGGUGAGAAUCCCGUCCACCGAUUGACUAAGGUUUCCAGAGGAAGGCUCGUCCGCUCUGGGUUAGUCGGGUCCUAAGCUGAGGCCGACAGGCGUAGGCGAUGGAUAACAGGUUGAUAUUCCUGUACCACCUAUAAUCGUUUUAAUCGAUGGGGGGACGCAGUAGGAUAGGCGAAGCGUGCGAUUGGAUUGCACGUCUAAGCAGUAAGGCUGAGUAUUAGGCAAAUCCGGUACUCGUUAAGGCUGAGCUGUGAUGGGGAGAAGACAUUGAGUCUUCGAGUCGUUGAUUUCACACUGCCGAGAAAAGCCUCUAGAUAGAAAAUAGGUGCCCGUACCGCAAACCGACACAGGUAGUCAAGAUGAGAAUUCUAAGGUGAGCGAGCGAACUCUCGUUAAGG
Molecule: ribosomal RNA, 1649 nt
Filed under: Staphylococcus aureus
Lineage: Bacteria; Bacillati; Bacillota; Bacilli; Caryophanales; Staphylococcaceae
Description: partial 23S ribosomal RNA
Rfam family: Bacterial large subunit ribosomal RNA
Source: RNAcentral